AUUGAACGCUGGCGGCAGGCCUAACACAUGCAAGUCGAACGGUAGCACAGAGAGCUUGCUCUCGGGUGACGAGUGGCGGACGGGUGAGUAACGUCUGGGAAACUGCCCGAUGGAGGGGGAUAACUACUGGAAACGGUAGCUAAUACCGCAUAACGUCGCAAGACCAAAGUGGGGGACCUUCGGGCCUCACACCAUCGGAUGUGCCCAGAUGGGAUUAGCUAGUAGGUGGGGUAAUGGCUCACCUAGGCGACGAUCCCUAGCUGGUCUGAGAGGAUGACCAGCCACACUGGAACUGAGGCACGGUCCAGACUCCCACGGGAGGCAGCAGUGGGGAAUAUUGCACAAUGGGCGCAAGCCUGAUGCAGCCAUGCCGCGUGUAUGAAGAAGGCCUUCGGGUUGUAAAGUACUUUCAGCGGGGAGGAAGGCGGUGAAGUUAAUAACUUCACCGAUUGACGUUACCCGCAGAAGAAGCACCGGCUAACUCCGUGCCAGCCGCCGCCGUAA
This 504-nucleotide ribosomal RNA is filed under the name uncultured bacterium. RNAcentral's name for it is "partial 16S ribosomal RNA". It matches the Rfam family "Bacterial small subunit ribosomal RNA", at positions 30 to 523 of the family's 1533-position model. The record is from RNAcentral.